CGCAGAGCGACCCGCGGAAUGUCCGGGAAUCGACCUCGCGCGCGGCUGCCAGCUGGGAAAGAGACGAGGGAACUCCAGGGGACUAGAUCAUCCCGGGCUUCUUCUGGCAUCCUGGAGAGGCCGCUGCAGACGAGCUUCUCCUCCUCCUGGGCAGGAUUCGACCCCUAAAAUAGGGGUUUUAUCCAGAUAGUCCCCAACUUACAACACUUCCUUCAGCCACCAUUCCAAGUUGCAAAGGCGCCCCAAAAAGUGGCUUUAGGACCCCUUUUCCUUUAGCUUUCUAGAGUCCCCAGGGUCAUGCCAUCAAAAUUCAGAUGCUGGGCCACCGACGGUCGCAGUGUCCCAGGGUCACAGGAUCCCUCUUUCACCAUGACCUUCUGACGGGUGAGGAUUCACUUAACGACCGUGUGGCUGACUUAACAAUCGCAGCAAUUCUCAUUUUUCCAAUUUGACUCAUACUUACAACGGUUGCCGUGCCCCCCACGGUCCCAGGGAGAAGACCGUAAAUUUGGAAGCUUAAUUGAAAAUAAGGCUGACUCGAGAGAAAAGCGGCGGAUCCAAAUUGGCCAAUUGAAGUCUCCCCCCCCCCCACCCUUUUUCUUUUCUAACUUUCGGAAGCCAGGCUGGACUUUCCAUUGCAAUUCAACGUGGGUUGGCUUCAUGCGCUUUAUCUCAUACUCUUAAUCUUGGACCUUGUGGGGACACUGAAUAUAUUUAAAUCUUAAUUGCUCUGAAGAUUCUUUUUUCUCUCUCUCUUUUUUUAAUUGUUGGCUACUUUUGUUAUAUUUCCGAUUCUUAAAAUAAAAAAAAGUCAAAAUAGAGACGGGAAGAAAUAAGCAUUGAGAGUUGAUACGAUGAACACUGCCAUCUAGUGGACCUGAAACGCUGUUACUGGAGAGAAGCGGUUCCCUUGAAGGGCUGAAAGGGGGCAGGAAUACAGGUGUUUACACAGCUGUUUCCUGUGGACCUUUCAGUAUCUGGAAACCUACUUUAGAUUAAACAGAAGCGCCGAGGGAAAGCUCCGAGUGGCCUUGCAAAGGCUUUCAUCGGAAAAAACAAGAGAGACUGAAUUUAUUUCUUCCAGCUUUGUGGCAGUUCUUAUAUUAUCCUUGUAUAUUAUCUUGCUGGGGAGGUGGUGAUGUUUUUUUCUUCCUUGGCUGUUUGACUUCUUUUUUGAGGUUUUGAAGUACUUGAUUCCUGAUUUAUUUAUUUAUUUAUAUUUUGUCUCUCUUUUCCUUUUGAAGAUAUUGGAGACAAAUGGAUGGCUUGCUUUAAAAUUUGAGUAAAUUGGACUGAAGACUUUUUUCUCUCCUCUCUUUUCUUUUGUUCUUUUACUUUUCUUUUUAAGUGAGAGAUCUUCACUUUUUCCUCUUUCCUCUUUCUUUUUUCCUCUCCUUUAAUUUUAUUUAUAAUCUCGUAUCUUCAUAAACUGAUGUUUAAAUUUUUGUGAUACUAACUGGACUAGAACAUAAAAGAAAAAAUUCAGAAGAUGAAUAGAAAAACAACACCUGCUGGUUUUACAACAAGGACCCCCCUCACCUGCAGGAGGACGAAGAUCAAUACAGUCAGAUGCUUCAACAAGAAAAGGAGGAGGAGGAGAUUGCCUUAGAGGCAAUCAUGCAAGCGAUGCAGAAAUUACAAGCAGCAAUUGAUAGCAAGAAUGAAAAGUUAGAUGCCAUUGUAAAGAAGUUUGAGAGUAUAGGAAAAAGAAUGGAGACCCUAGAAUACUUUG
Thamnophis elegans (Western terrestrial garter snake) is the source of this 1732-nucleotide long non-coding RNA. RefSeq lists it as uncharacterized. The record is from RefSeq and is a predicted model, not a curated record. NCBI's taxonomy places the organism in Eukaryota, Metazoa, Chordata, Lepidosauria, Squamata, Natricidae. The transcript is spliced from 2 exons.